ACUUAAAUUGAAGAGUUUGAUCAUGGCUCAGAUUGAACGCUGGCGGCAGGCCUAACACAUGCAAGUCGAGCGGUAGCACAGAGAGCUUGCUCUCGGGUGACGAGCGGCGGACGGGUGAGUAAUGUCUGGGAAACUGCCUGAUGGAGGGGGAUAACUACUGGAAACGGUAGCUAAUACCGCAUAACGUCGCAAGACCAAAGUGGGGGACCUUCGGGCCUCAUGCCAUCAGAUGUGCCCAGAUGGGAUUAGCUAGUAGGUGGGGUAACGGCUCACCUAGGCGACGAUCCCUAGCUGGUCUGAGAGGAUGACC
RNAcentral lists this ribosomal RNA (310 nucleotides) under Klebsiella pneumoniae. Its description in RNAcentral is "partial 16S ribosomal RNA". It matches the Rfam family "Bacterial small subunit ribosomal RNA", at positions 1 to 305 of the family's 1533-position model. The record is from RNAcentral. Lineage: Bacteria; Pseudomonadati; Pseudomonadota; Gammaproteobacteria; Enterobacterales; Enterobacteriaceae.